UUUAUUUGAUAGUACCUUACUACUUGGAUAACCGUGGUAAUUCUAGAGCUAAUACAUGCUGAAAACCCUGACUUCGGAAAGGGUGUAUUUAUUAGAUAAAAAACCAAUGCCCUUUGGGCUCUUUGGUGAUUCAUGAUAACUUAACGGAUCGCAUGGCCUUGCGCCGGCGACGGUUCAUUCAAAUUUCUGCCCUAUCAACUUUCGAUGGUAAGGUAUUGGCUUACCAUGGUUUCAACGGGUAACGGGGAAUUAGGGUUCGAUUCCGGAGAGGGAGCCUGAGAAACGGCUACCACAUCCAAGGAAGGCAGCAGGCGCGCAAAUUACCCAAUCCCGACACGGGGAGGUAGUGACAAUAAAUACUGAUACAGGGCUCUUUAGGGUCUUGUAAUCGGAAUGAGUACAAUUUAAACCUCUUAACGAGGAACAAUUGGAGGGCAAGUCUGGUGCCAGCAGCCGCGGUAAUUCCAGCUCCAAUAGCGUAUAUUAAAGUUGUUGCAGUUAAAAAGCUCGUAGUUGAAUCUUGGGCCUGGCUGGCCGGUCCGCCUCACCGCGUGUACUGGUCUGGCCGGGCCUUUCCUUCUGGAGAACCUCAUGCCCUUCAGUGGGUGGUGUUGGGGAACCAGGACUUUUACUUUGAAAAAAUUAGAGUGUUCAAAGCAGGCCUUUGCUCGAAUACGUUAGCAUGGAAUAAUAGAAUAAGGACGUGCGGUCCUAUUUUUGUUGGUUUCUAGGACCGCCGUAAUGAUUAAUA
RNAcentral lists this ribosomal RNA (751 nucleotides) under Lophiostoma japonicum. RNAcentral's name for it is "SSU rRNA". It matches the Rfam family "Eukaryotic small subunit ribosomal RNA", at positions 116 to 874 of the family's 1831-position model. Lineage: Eukaryota; Fungi; Ascomycota; Dothideomycetes; Pleosporales; Lophiostomataceae. The record is from RNAcentral.